Long non-coding RNA from Falco peregrinus (peregrine falcon), 13813 nucleotides. RefSeq lists it as uncharacterized. Lineage: Eukaryota; Metazoa; Chordata; Aves; Falconiformes; Falconidae. The record is from RefSeq and is a predicted model, not a curated record. The transcript has 3 exons.
GAAAAUCUUAGUCAUGUCAUCACUUGAGAAAGUCAUUGUGAAAAGACAUCUAUGGCAAGGACAACCUUUGGGGAAGAUCCACCUCUGAAAAUACACUGAAAGAGUGAGAAGAAGCAGAAGAAACAAUUUACUAGCUACUGGUUGAGAAGACGGCGGUGCAGCUUCUGUAACCUCCAGACUCCAUUUGUGACCCCAAGUUUCAGCUCUUGGACUCCUGUUCUGAGUGUGCACCUUAGGCAUUGUGCUGACAUGCCCUGGAAGGAGAAGAGACCGAUGAACCACCCCAGACCCUGCUGGCCUGGGCUGCCAGGUUCUGUCAGGAGCAGGAUGCCUAAUCCUUGUUUGUACAGUGGAGAGAAAUGGAAGACAACACAUGGCCUUGGACCUUCCAGACCGGCCUGAAAAACAUUACUAUUUAGAGUCAUGGCUCCUUCACGCUUCUCUCAGUAAUAUGGCCCCAAUCAGCAUCACCCCGUCGCAGUCAUUGCCCUAGCAAGCUCAAGACUGAAGCCAAGAUUUCACAUUGGAAGGUGCUUUAAAAGACUUUCGACAUGAUCUUCUGUGACUGGAAAUGAAAACAGAGCUGGUGCUUCCAUGGGUGGCAAAAUCAAACCAAACAUUUCAAGUAAGUUUAGUCUGUAUUCAGUAGAGAUAAUACAAGCAGUACAGCAAUAUAAAUUUUGGCCUGAGUUGUAUUGUACUGAUGUCAUAUCCAGGCAGAAAAAAGAUCAGAUAAAGAACCAUUUAUAGCAGAAGGCAGAAACCCUCUGGCCUCUGUCUAAAGCCAGCUGAAGUAAAUGGAAAUGUUUCUUUGAGCCUCAAUGAGUUUAGAUUGGGCAUUUUGAGCCUAUUUCUUUCUACCUUCUAAUUGCUGGCUAUUUAGACACUUGCCUUUAAGAUAGCAUGUUUAAGGAAGUUAAGAUGCAUAUGAGAUGUCUUCUCUGCACUCUUCAUAAUUUUCCUACUGCAGUAUAGUGACUGUCCAAAGGGUAAGGGAUAAAAGAGUCCAGCUUUGUUUUAGCUCACUGCUGCAUAACCCAGACUUUUUUUGGGGGUUUUCACAGCACUAUGAUAGAGAAAAUGCAUGUGCACCAUGGACCAGUAAACAGAAAUAACUGUGGAAGACUGAUGGUGUCCAAUGUCUUUGAAAGACUUUCAGACUGAGUUUUUCACUCCCCUUUCUUGUUUAGGAACUAUCAAGAGAAAAGCUGGUUGGAUAUUUGGCAUUUCUUUGUUCCACCACACAUGAAAAUGGUCUGUGUUAUCAUUAUCUUCCCCUGCUCCAGUCCAACAAGAACCUAUGAACGGAGGAAAGAAACCUCCGAUCACCUGCCUCUCCUGCCUCAACACAGAAAUGAACACGGAGUCACAUGCACGUAACAGCUCUACAAAAGAUUACCCAAGAAGACAAUAUUUGUACACUUGUGCAUCUUUUUUGUAAGCAACUGAGGCUCAUUUUUCUUGGAAAAAGUUGUUGGCUUUAGAUUUCACAGUGUGGAAAACAAGGAAAUGAAAAUAGCUCCUUGAAGUAUGGGUCUUGGUAGGAAAAAGCCGUGUCUGGCUCUUUUCUUGUUCCCAGACAGCAGACCUGUCUGGGGAAUGCAGCAUGUGCAGGAUUGCAAAAAGGACUAUUGAUGAUAAAAGCAAAGCAGAAAAGUGCUCAGGAGUCUCUUUAGGACAGCAGUGGCCAGAGGCUAAGAAGCAUUGAGGACUGAAGUCUGCUCAGCUCCGUGCUCCUCUGGCCAAGCACUGCACAAGUCCCCCUGCACUGUUAUGAUAUACAACCAUGACUAAUAGUCUCCAUAGCUUAUGGAUCAAACUUGGUUUGUCAUCUGUGACAGUGGCUGUGAUGCUGUUGAUCUGGGACAGAGACAAAAAUCAGCCUCGGUGGUGGUUUUUUUGCAGUUUAUAGCAGGAUCAACCACAGAUUGGAUUGCUGAAGCCAGAUAGCGUGGGAUGAGCUCUGUGCUUAAACCAAAGCUCAGUUUCCUCCCAGCAACUGCCUACCUGCAGAGUCUUCCCCUCACACGGGGUGUAGCUCUGCUCUGCCCUGGCAAUCAGGCCGGCUGAGUGGCAGAAGCAUUGUGCUGAGCCCAGCACAGAGCUCACCCGCCUUCCUGGCUUCCCAUGGACGCCUGGUUCCUAGCAGGCAGCCUGCAGAGAAUGCAGAGACCUUCCCAUGCUGCUGCUGGAAAUGAAACACAGAUGUGUCAGUUGCUGAGAUUUUUGAUGCCCUGGCUUUUCCACACAUGAUGUAUGCUGUGCUCUUGGAGGGAGGGGUGACACAGUCAGAUUCCUACCGGGUUGUCAGGCUGCAUAAAUGCCCGCGUCUCGCAUCUGCGCUUGAAAGUCCUCCUGCUUUUGAUUUGCCUGUUUUUGUGAGCGGCUUGUAGAAAUUUGAUCAUGCCCGGUUUUCAUUGACGCAGUGAUGUACCGUGUGCCUCAGGAAUGGAAAUCCAUUAUGUCAAAAAUGUCACUGAUCAUGCCCUUGUCAAGGCAAGGUCUCUCACCCCAAAGAGAAAAGCCCUACCAUGGUUGACAGUCCUGCCUCUGUAGGUGUACAGAUCCACUGGGGUUAGUUUGUACCCGGGCAAGAGCCCCCUGGCAGAGUGCAGCUGGUUGUCACACGGUGCAUCUCAGAGACCUUUGGGUCUUCUGACUCCUCUGGGGCAACAACAGAUUUGUCUUCUGUAUGGUAAGAGUAAAGAGGUGCUGGUCCGUAUGCUGGGGUCCUUGGGAUGAGGUGGGGUACACGGCUGUGUUUGUCUAACAGCCUCUUUGGGAGAGCGUGCUGCGGGAGCUGAGGUGAGUGGGUGUGCUGCAGCAGCAACGGAUUUGGCUCCACGCUUCGAACUCCAGCUCUGAACAUGCACGUCCCCAGACAACCAGCCCAUCCACAUUGUGCUUUGGUUCAGCUCAAACUGCUGGAAUAAAAGGCAACCAAACCCCAAACCUAUAGAAUCAGAUGGCAAACACCGACCACUGCCUGGCUGUGCCAAGUGCCGCCCUGCGCUGCCGGCUCAGCUCUUGCAGCCUGGGUCACAGCCUUUCGACCCAUAUGUCUGUUGGUUUUUUUGGUUGGUGUUUUUUUUUUUUUUUUUUUUUUUAUAAAACCCCCUCCUUAUACUAGGAAACUAUAACACCCACAGGGUUAAAAAGGUUACAGUUGUUAGUGCAUGGGAAGGAAAAGGGUGCGGUUCAAAGAAAACGUGUUUCUGACUUUUUUUACAAAAUCGAAGUAACAGAAGUGGUGAGCCAACACCUGAAGUUAGCUUAAUCUUAGCAAACUUCAGAGGGAAGAAUCAAUUGCACAUCUAUAGCAUGGCCUGCACCCCUGAGCAACCACAUUUAUUCUGUGGUGCAAAGACAGAAAUUCAAGCUGGUUUUGCACCUUCUACAGAUAGUGCUGUAAUUUCAAGCCUCACUUUGUUUUAAACUUGGAAGGCUUCCAAGAAAGAGGCAAAAGCUGUUGAAAUUGCAGUAUUUCGGUAUAUAUUCAGGGGAUGAUUUAGUGAGCAGGUAUGACUUUUUAAUGUGGCUACCCAGAGCUCCGUGCCACUGCAUGGCUCGUUUGGUUUUGGUUGUAUCUCAUAUUAAUAUAAAAAAUAUGUCAACCAUGGAAACAAGUAAGAUUUGUCCUCUCAUUUGAAAUCCCUGGUGAAGUGAAUGGCUGAAGGACAGGGAAUUAGCAUAGACAGAGCAAGUGCCUUGGCCAAACAUGGGCUUCGGAUCCACCAAAUCCCACUCAAACACCUCUGCCAUAUAUUCAAAUGUGUUUUUUUGCUCCUGUUGUUUCCCUUUUAGCCUCCAAGAGUUUGCUCUGCUAGGCUAGACCAAGCUGAUGCAGCAGAGAUUCAAAGGGCUUUGGUGUUUACACUGCAUCAGCUCCUCCUCCCAUCCUCAGGGAGCCUCACUGCCAGCUCUUCGGGCAAAGCCUUGGGCAGUGCCCUUUGGAGGGCUGCACCCAGCCUUUGGACGGUGAGUGGCUUUAGGAAGCUUGUACCCUCUCAGGGGAAACUGCCACUGAAGGGGCAGGCGCCCAUGGGUUACCUCCGGCAUGUCUGCACGGGGACUUCGCUGCCGAGGGGCACCUUAGAGAAAUACCGCAGACAGGAAAGCAGGAAACGUUUUGCAGAGCAGAGAUAACAUUGAAAAAAAUACUCCAUAAAUGGUUUGAUUUACUGAUUCGCAUGUACAGUAGCUGCCAUGUAAGCAUCACAGGAAAAGGAAAUGGGAUGGAGGAGGAGUGCGAGGAAAAAGGUAGCAGGACAACAAAACAGGCUGGCAGAUUUCACUGGGGACAGGACGUCAUGUCCUGGUUUUUCUUCUGAGCACGAUGUGUUGUGAUCUGCAAUCACACAUGGACACUGAGGAUGUCAGUCCUUUGAUUCAAAAGGAAAGGUCUGUAUUUAUUGAAAACAGAUGGGCAACUUGCAUCACCUUGGGAUUCUCUACUGGAAAUUGACUCUUGUAUACAGCUGGAAUCCCCCGGGCAUGCUAGCCCUUACCUAGAGCAAACAGGUCUCUGAGCCACUGAUCUGAACUUCUACACCUCUGUGUGAUGGAGUUGUUGCAGAGCAGGCAUGUGAUGGUAGAGUUGUCACCUCUAUGCUCCAUUUCUCAGCUUUUCUCAAAAUCCCCUUUUGCAAGAUGACCUCAGAGGUCUGUGUGACUCCAUGUGAGGUGAACACCCCCCCGCCCCCCCCCACUAUGAACUUCAGCAAGCAAUGGGAGACACCUCCUGCCAGCAGCAUGUGUCUCCAUAAGAGCAUCAGGGAGAGCCUCUCUGCACAACUGAUUUUUUCGAGCUUUGCCAGACAUUUUGUGAUCUACCUGACUGCACCUCAGUGGGGGAACUCACAGGGCUGCACAGGCCCUAUUUUACAAUUACUUGUUGCUUCAUUUAUCUCCACUUGCUUUGUGUCACCGGCCUCCACUGGGGAAACUGAGUCUCACAUGUGGGUGAUGAUCCCACUCUGCAGUGGCCAGGCCAUGGAGCCACCUCCUGCAGAGUUAGAUGGUUACCUCAGAUGACUUUCUUAAGGCAUCUUCUCAGAGUCUUCAGGGAUGCUGGUAGGUGUGAAAGGCCCCUUUCAGUCUCUGCUGUUAGUAUUGUCACAAGCAAUUUAAUCUUCUGGAGAAAAGAAAGUGCCUGAUGAAGGUAGGACAUUCAGCCUUCAAUUGCAGCGAAAGAUUUAGUGGGGCACAUGUCUUGAGACGUGUGCUUCUCCGUUUCUCAAAUAAAUACCCUGAUACAGUCUGAAAAAGUAAGUAUGGUCUUCCUUGAGAUUUCUAGGUAUGCGUACACACUGAGGGGAAAAAUCCAAGUUUUUUCCCCUCCUUUCCCACCAGUUUUUCAUAUCCUCUUACUCCGUCAUAAAGAUGAAAAAGACAACAGAAAAAUCUACUGGAAAUCACCCUUGAAAAUGCUGACUUUUGAGCUCUGGCACAUUUCUCUCCAUAUAAAUAGAUAUCCCUAUAAAUUGGUCUUCCUAUAGACACCUGGGAUUUUGGCUUGUGUUCAGCAGUUUCCAUUCACUUAAACAACAGAUUUACAGCCUCAUUUUCCAAACACUAUUUCCAUGCCCUACUUGGUGCCAGGAAUGUAUUUUUUGAAGAUGCAUUUGUGAAGCAACAAUACUAAUUGGAAAGACUCUUCAAGAUUAAAAGAUGUCCCUUCCAUUGUCUUUUCUCCUGACACUAGCAGCUUGAAUCAUUUUGUAAACAGAGCUACCCACAGAGAGAUAAAUGAUGUAGCUUCACCUGGUGCUGGUGUAGUACAGGUGUAUUUGAACACAUGAGACUGGACAUGUGAACUCUGUCUGCCCUGCAGUCUCUGGUGCAUGGGAGUGAUACCUGAGUUAGCUUUUCUAGAGUGGAAGCAGGUGGACCUUAACACCAUAAAGCUCUGUGUACUCUGGGUUACCCAGAUGUGGGGUGUUUUUGCAUGAAACUUCAGUGCAGGCAAAUCUGCAGGCUUCACCAUUUUAAGAAAUGCAAACAUUUGGUAAUUCUCCACCGGCUUUGCUAGAGUAUGUGGCCAAAUAAUGGGAGGGAAACAGAUACUACUCAGUUCUGGACUGAUCUUGUGGGCUCUUUUCAUUAAUCGCAUCUCUGAGUCUUCUUCUUUUUCUCUAUUUAAAAAGACAGCUGUCACAUCUACUUCCUUUGAAGAUACUUUGUGAUGAAGUGGCAAAAAGAUGCUGUAUGAGACCCAGGUAUUACUACAAAUUUUAAAAAAAAUGUAUAGAUUACUAUAUGUAAUGAACAUGCAUGAAAUUCUCAGAAUUCUACAGAACUAAAUGCCAAGACUCCUGCUGACUUGACUGGGUGAGUGUCAUGGUGUGCUGUGCCCACAUCACUGCUCGGGUCUCAGGCAAGCAGAACCUCUGGCAGGAGAAAGGCAGGCUGCAGUCCAGCUGCAUCAUGGAGCUGCGGUUUAUCAAAUACAUACAGCAGAUACGUGGGUGAAAAUAAAGCGUGUCUUGUUAGGCUUCCAAGUAAGUACCAGAUACCCAAGAAAACAGUAAUGCAAGCACAGCCAUAAAAUCCGACUUCCAUUUCUCUGCAAAGGCCCUUGUCUCAUCACCUGGGGUGACAUCCCAGCACUUUUGGGAACAGGAGUAAAGUGCUUUGAGGACAAAAGAAGAAAGAAGUUGGUCCAGAAAGGAUGUAGUGUCUUUGCUCUGCUUGAUUUCAAGGUGUUUGAGAUGCCUAGAUACUGGUGAGGGCUCUGGGCAGUGGUAAAUGAGUUAAUUUCUUCUGUAGGCAGAAGAACAUGAGUAUCUGCAGGCAGCUGUAGGAGCAGCCCUGGAUAUCCUACGUAUGUUUUUGGGCACCCUGGAGAAACUGACAUUGUAUUACUGAGCCAGGCAGUCCCUUUGCUCAGGACUUCUUUAAAGACCAGGAAGGCAGCAGCCACAGCAGAAGCGUUGGUCAUCAUCCUCCUGUUACCCAUCUCAGGCAGUUCAUGUUUCAUACAUUUUGCUUUGUACAAAACCAGCCACUUGUGUCUGUCUGCUCGCCAGCAGACCCCCUGAAACAGCCACCUAGGCCUGCAGCUGCGGUUGGGCCCACUUUGCAAUACUUUUUAUUUGUUCUGUUGCAGUGGACACCCUGCCGUAUGGGGCAGACCCUGUUUCUCACAGGCACCAUGCAAAAGCAACAUGAAGGGAAAGCAGAGUUCUGUAAGCUGCAGUUUAACAUAGCAUCUAAAUAACUGCUCGAGGGCACAGCUUCAGGAGGCAGGGCUAGCCAACAUCAUAGGCUGCUUCUGUCCAAAAGGGAAGGUCCAGCGCCCUUUGGAAAAUAAACGAUAUGAUAGUUUUCUGCCGUUUUAGGGAGGAGAAUUGGCUCAACCAAGGCUCCGACAAACACCAGAUAUGGUACAAAGGUGGUUGGCAGCAAAUUGUUGUGUUGGCUCAGCUGCCUGUGGGACUGCAGCUUGCAUCAGUCUGAAGCAUGCGCUUAAAAUGCUUUAUGAGUUGAGGUCUGAUUACUGGGCUGGAGCAAUGGAGUUAGAUCUGGGCAGCUUUAGUGGAUCUCGGAACAGUGUCAGGCUCCCAGUGGCUGCUCCUAUUAGCACAUGGCAGCACAAUUUGAAAAAUGCUUUGCUUCUUCGUGCUGACUGGGCAGAAUGACAGCCAGGGAUGUGUCAGCUAUUUUUUUUUUUUUUUUUGCUUUGAAGUAUGAUUUUAAAAAAAUAUUUAAUAAAAUGGACACAGUGUAUACCAGGACUAUUCCCCUAGAAAGCUUCUUAGUAUUCCAAAGGCUAAAAGACAGGAGGAGAGAAUGGAGGCUAGCAUAUUAUUUAUAGAAAGGACAUCUUCUGGUGUCCUCUGUGGUUGUUCUGUCAUGCCCAUAUAAUGGUUUGUUGUAACAAAUUAUGAGUCUGUGAUAGUAAUCUAAAAUUUGUGCACCUAUUCCUAGCAGCAAUGUUUUCUGCUAGGACACCACCUUUUACCUCCCUGUUAGAGGGGGUCUUACUAGAAGCAUCGGUGGUAGGACAACAAAACCAUAAAUAAUUAUCUUAUGAAGCCAAAAUCCUUGUGAAAGAUGCUAGCAGCUUGGUGGUAUUUACUGUUCAAAGUCUAAUCCAUUAUUUGGGUAUGAAGAGAAGCAACAUCUAGUAGUUAAAAACCUUGUCAAGCUCAAUCACAAAAUCAAAAGAAAAGCCACAUUCAAAUGCAACAUACUUUAUAAGAUUAAUUAUUACUUCGUUGAAUAAGAAAUUCAAAAUAGUCUGAAAUGAUAAAUCAGUUUCUGUCUGCUCUUGGUCUUUUUUUGGAAAUCACCAGAUUACAAAUAUUCCCUACUUCCAUGUCUGCUACUGAAUUUCGGUUCACUUUAUUUUAGAAAAUUUGAGGGGAGUUGUUUAUGGUAUAACUGAGGGGAAUUUCCAGAUGGAAAGGAGGAGUUAGUACAUACAAAGCCGGACUCUGAGCUUUUCUCCUAAGCUUUGGUUUUUUUCUGAGAAGGGGAAAACAAAACAACAACAGUUCCUUUUUACUGGUGCUUUUUCAUCUGGCUGUGUAGGUGGUACGCUGAAGUAGUAGUUUGAUGGAGAUUAAAGGCAGUGUGACUGCUAUGUAACUUCUGUCAGAAGGGGGAAUCCCAGCUCUUUAAAGGGCAUGCGCAAAUAGACGUGAGUAGCGGUAUUACAGGGUUCAAAAGAAAAACCAGGCCAAACAAUCUCCUCCCAGAACCUCCCCUAGAUUUCCAGUAUGCCUAAAAGUGGGCCGUGUCCUUGGCUGGGGAGGUUUCUGCCAGCAUUGCUGUACGGUCACUGCGUCUGGGCUCUGCACCUCACCCCCAUUGCACCCUGUUGCUUUGCACCCAGCCUGAAGAGGUCCUGUUGGGUUAAAGCAUCUCCUGGAGAGAUGCACAGCCUUGCUCUGGAGAUGCAGAGAAUAGAGAGCCCACCAGUCCCCCACUGUGUUUGGCUCCUUCCCAUGGUAUUUUGUCCAGUUAUCAAAGAGCGCUGCUGAAAACCGUCUCCUUUCUUCCAGGCUCAGUGUGUCUGGACUCAGCAGAAGCCAGCGCAUCGUUUAUAUACAAGGAAUGCACCUGUUUAAUACAUAAGGAGCACACCUAUUGCAACUUUCUCACCUAAAGUAAAGCUGUCUUUAGUUCCUGGAAUUUUUUUCCAUGUAAAUUCAAGGUACAAAAAGAGGCAUAACUGCCGGAAACCAUUCUUGGUAGAACAACAGACACUUAACAAGCCCUCCUUUCAGUUUAUCCCACAUCUAACCCACAGUCUGUUUCCUCUCCUUAGAAAUCACACUCUUGAUCAUCUGCGGUCCCUAGAUACCUGUGGCUGAGUCCUCCCAUGUGGCCAGUGCUGAGCAGCAAAACACCGUAAUCCUGGUGUGGAUUCAAAAGCAUGCUGAAAUCACAGUCCCUCUCCCCAAGAGUCUCAGUGUAGCAGAUCUGCACUAGAGAUGACCACCUCACAUCAACAGGUCCUUCUAGGAAACGCUGCCACACCCAGGAUUUACUUUUUUAAUCCUGUUGUUAUCUUUCGCUUUAGUACACAGCAAUCCAGCAGCUGUAGUCCUUAUUCCCCAGCUAGUGGCAGGUACCAGUCUAUGUCUAUCCAUUCCUAUGAGAAUCUUGGUUGCUCUGGAGAAAAGAUGUGAUAAGGAGUGUAGGGGUGGAAGAGGGUGAGGUCUAUACCUCUCCCACCGAAAGCAGGCCAAAUAUAUGGAAAACACAUGUAUGUUUCAGAAGGAAAGUGAUUGGGGAAGUGGCCUGGAGUCUGGGGAACUCUGCUCUCAGAAGUCCCAGCCUCUGGUGCCAGGGUUAUUUUUGUCUUUUAGCAGACAGCUGUAGUGGAUCAAAUGGAGAAAUAGUCCUGACAGCUGGGCCCAAAACACAACUGCUGCCCAUGUACCCUGCCAAAGGUCAUGCUCAAGGCCAGACCUGUGCUGGCAAGGCUGAAAGGUUUUGGUGAUAGCUAGGAACUCAAGAAACAGGUGUUUUUUAUGCAAGUAUUUGUGUAAUUAACUGCACAUGGUCACAAGAGACUGAGAAGUGAUUUAAUGUGAUGAAUUGGCUAAAGCCAAUAAAAGACCAAGGAGCAGGGUGAGUCCUGAACCUCACACAAGAUAGUGUUUACUCUUGUCUUUGCUGGUUGCUGUUAGUUAAUAUUUUUUGUUGUUGUUUUUUGGGGGGGUGUUUGUGUGGUUUUUUAUUUAUUUAUUUUCUAGAUUGCUUUGAAGAAUGGAUGUGUGGGAAUGACACAAGACAGUAAGAGUGGCUUUACUGGGGGACCAAAUGUCUGUCUAGCUCAAGAUCUGGUCUUCAGUGGUGGCUAAAAGCAGUCCUUGGGGAAAAGCAGUGUAAUAAAGGCAGCACCUGGUAUCCUCUCCCCAAAGCCUCUCCAUGACUCUGCAGGUCAGGGGCUAUUUCAGCACUGGUCUUUCUACUGCUAUGCAUGAAUAUGCUAAGGUAAAAUUACUCCCCUACAUCUCUGCCUACAGGUAACACCACAUACACAGUCACAGUUGCUUUAUUUUAUUAUGUUAUAGUGCUGUACUGGGAGCCCAUGUUGUGGUCAUUCAUUUGUAUUUGAAAUCUUUCACUUCUCCAGCUCUCAGAUUAGUUAUGGGAUAACUUUUAGUGUUCUGCAGGACAUGGUUUUGUUCCCUGGUACAGUAUCCAAUGCUUUAGAAAACUCCGAAUCUAUCAUGUCUGAGCCAGACUCAUAAAAGCUGGAACUCAGUUUGGCAAAUAAAUCUUGUUUCUCUUUGAAAGAUGCUUAUUAGCAUUUGCUACACUCCCACCCUUAGCUCACAGUUGUUUGCAUCUGUCGCUUCUGUUUUACUGUACUUACCCAAUUCAUCCUCUUUAGCCUUCUGGAAUAUUGAUACGCUAUGAGCACUUCUUCAAAUGAAAGCAGGAGAGAGACCAUGUCAUCUCUUUCAGGAAUACUAAUUAGCUAGAGUGCUCAUUUUAAAUAUUUUUUCCUGGUAGACCUUGUUUAUCAUCCUCUUGAUAUUACUGAGCAAAAAAGUCCCUCGACAGCUCCAUGCUGUACAUGUACAUGAUCUGACUUCUUUCUGAAUACAGACAAAUAUUUAUUAAGUACUCUUUUUUUAUAUAUUACUGUUAAUUUUGCUGCCUCUCUUUAGUGAUGUUCCUGCACUAUUGUUAAGCUACUUCUGUUCUUAGUAGAUGUUAAAAUACUUUCUCUGCUCUGUUCUGAGGUGUUUCCAGAUGGUUCAAAUUUGACUUACUCAUUUUUCACACUUAAUUACUUCUAUUUUGUAUUAGUUAGCAGCCAUUUCCCCCUUUCACAUCUGUAAUAGAUUGCGUUUCUACUUUACAUUGAUUCCUUUACUUUGUCACCGAACUAGGAUGAGAUUUUUAUCUGUUUGCACUCUUGACUUGGAAAUCCCAAUUUUUUGACCAUCUGAUAAACAAUUCAUCAAAGGACUGAACUUUUGUUCAGAUUUUUCUACCCACAGUUUUUCUGCCAAUGUAUCUAGAUAGUAACUUUUGUCAAGUUAGAGAACUUACCUUUUUAAUGUUGAGUGUUUGGGGCAGUCUUUUGUUUUUGGGGCAGCUACAAAUACUCAGGUCACAGUCAUGACAGCUGGUCUUUAGAGAGCAACAAACUUUCUACUCAGCAAUUAGUUCAUCAUGGUAUGCCAUAGUGAAUGAUCUCACCUUAGAUGCAGUACCUGAUGGGUGAGAGAAUUCACCUCUAUCACUAAAUGCUAUUUUUCUAUUGACUCUCACAUCUCUAGCAUGCCUCCCACUUUGAAGUCUAAUUGGAUGAGGGUUGAAUGAAUAAUGGGUUUAAGGAACAACUCAUCCUGCUUUUUGACUUUCUGACUUUCUUUGAUGGUCUGUAGCAGAUCGUUCUGCAGAUAUUUUUCCUCUUCUGCUCAGCAUCUUGUAAAUCUGACUUAACAAUUCGCAAGCUUGUAGUGGUGAUAGAGAGCACUGUCCCCAGUCUGCCCUUCCUCAUCAACAGUUUUAUUACAGUGAUCGGGAAAGUCAUCUCACCAGGCUUCUGUGGCAUUAGUUACACCAAAUUCCUUCACAACUAACAUUACGUCCUGCUCGUGUGUUACUAAUCUUUCUAGCACUGAUAUAGAUGACUACAAGUUCUCAUUAUUUCUCAUUCAGGCUUGCCAGGUUGCUGGCUGCAUGCUGAGUUGUGGCGCACACUUCCUCAGCACUAUCUUUAGUGUUGCUGGUCUAACCAGCCCUGUAUGGCCCCCUCUAAAAAUAUGUGGAGCCUACAUGUGGCAGCAAUUUUUGUUUCUGAUGUUACCUGUCUUCCUCAAGAGCAGGAGACAAGUGAAAGUAAGCCUGGCUGCCUCAUGCCCAUUGUGCUGGCCAUGCACAGCUUAUUCCCAAUUUCUUCUGCUUUGCCUUGGUAUUUCAGAAUAUCAGUCAAAUACAAGUCUUGUUUUUUUGAGUUCAGGCUGAUAUUUCAUGUCAGCUCUAGCUGCACGAAAACAAGAAAGACCUGAAUACUUAGUGAGAAAAUAUUUAGGUUUAGGAGGCUUCAAGAACGGUUUUGCUGAUCUGUUGAUAUGCACAUGAAGAUUGAGAAGUGAGGUUGACUCUGAACUGCUUGCGGGUUGCAUCACUGUUACAGUAAUAAAAAACAAAUGUCGCUAUAAUAUCUGGGUCAUGGAAAGGUGCUUUUGAGACAGAGACAGGCUGUUGUGGUGGGAGUGUAUUUCCAGAAGGAGGAAGGAAAGAGAGUGUGAGACAGUAACAGCAAGUGAGUGUGUAUGUAUUUGAGAAAGUGAGAAACAUCAUGAGCCAGCCAGCCUCCCACUGUGGGACCUGCUGCGGUACGUGGCAGGGCAGCACAGCGCCCAGCAGCAGAGCUCCAGCUCCUGUCUCCCAGCUCCCACCCCAUAACAGGGUGGCCAAGUCCACCCAGGGCUUGCCCAGGUGGAGGGGAUGGCCUCACUCCUGGUUACAGAGCCUAGAAUGGGCUGGAGGGACCAAAGUGAAAUCUGAAGCCAGAUGAAGGCAUCUUCUGCAUAAAGGCAGAGAGCUACCAGGGCAGACGGAUGCUAUGAUCCCAUGGCUCACAGCAUGGAUGCUGCACCAGGUAGUACGGAGAGGGUCAGAGGGAGCCUCCUGAGAGAAGUAAGGGACGCAAGGAUGGAAAAGAGUUGUCAUUUUGUCAAGUCAGGAAAGCCAGGACAGGACUUGAAGGCAUUACAGUCAGAGCAGUCACACACAAAACCAAGACAGGAAGAGUGGUCUGAUGCAGGGAGUGCAAGGGGGUUUCUAUAGUGGUGGCAUUUUGGGUGAGAAGUCAGGGGGGAAGAUAUUGUGCUACUGAAAGUGGGGACAGUGAAGAAGGUGUAGGCAGGAGAUUUUACUGUAAGCAAGGUGAGAAAAGCCCCAGAGUUUGGUGAUGCUGUAAGCAAAGACAGAAGUUACCGAAUCUGACUGGAGGGAGAGAAUAAGAAGACGGGAGAAGAAAAGGAGAGUGAACCUGGCAUGGAGGUGGAGGAGGGAGUCAGCAGGAACGGGAGUGGGUCUAAAAUAAAGGUUAUUGUAGGAAGAGUGGUCUCUGAGCUGGUGGUGGGACAUGUAAGAGUUCACAGUUACAGAGAGGUCAGACUAACAAUAUAGAUGGAAAUAUCCUUCUCAGAAAAAAUGGUUACUGUGAUAAGGAAUAGGGACAAGUUUGCCAGGGGAGGGACUGGCAAAUGGUACUGAAGCCCUCACUGGCAAGGCCUGCAGAGGUGACUUGUGGGACAGGCACCAAGGGGUGAGAGUCCAGCUCCAGGAGGAGAUGGCACUGAAGGUUCAUCAGGGAGGGUCUGGAUGG